This 22-nucleotide small nuclear RNA is filed under the name Arabidopsis thaliana (thale cress). RNAcentral describes it as "snRNA_10768". The record is from RNAcentral. Lineage: Eukaryota; Viridiplantae; Streptophyta; Magnoliopsida; Brassicales; Brassicaceae.
CCCUAUAAUAGUUGGAAUCUCA